Long non-coding RNA from Eleginops maclovinus (Patagonian blennie), 686 nucleotides. RefSeq lists it as uncharacterized. The record is from RefSeq and is a predicted model, not a curated record. NCBI's taxonomy places the organism in Eukaryota, Metazoa, Chordata, Actinopteri, Perciformes, Eleginopidae. The transcript is spliced from 4 exons.
CCUCGUAUGUCCAUUUUUGCCGAUUUUGAGAUUUUACGAUGGAUACAAUGUCCAGGUUCAUUUCCGUAUACAGUAUGCGUCAUGUACCUAAGUGACCAAUGAAAAGUUGUGAAAUCAUGUCAUCUGAUUUUCAAGUAUAUCCAUUUGGUGUCAAAGCUGUCAAUCACGCCGCGUAUCUCCCGCUCUGUGGAGCCAUCUCAGCUGUCUCGUGUCAUCUCAUUAGCGUCUCUGGAAGCGCAUCAUCGGGUAGCUGAAUAACACUUUGAAGGAUGUCUUUCUCUGUUAAGGAGCUGUGUGAAAUGGUCAAUGUCAGCUAUGAUAGGGAACUUGAGGCGAACGUGAGGGUCAGCAAUGAGGAGGAAGAUUCAGUUGAAAGUGACGGUGGAGAUACAGCUGCCAAUGAGGAUUCUCUGGAAAGUGAUAAUGACAAUCUCACUGAAAGUGACAGUGAGGGUAAGUAUCUUAUUAUUCUCAUUCUCAGAUUAGGCUAAACUACAGCCUCCACCUCACAUUGGUUUGACAGACUAAAGCCCAUUACUAAUUACAAAUCUAGUGUAUUUAAUCAAUUAUGAGUCAAAAUGAAUGCAAUCUUAUAUCAGAAUGAUGUCAUAAGUGCAUUUGUUGUACUAAAUGUGUUCCUCUAUAUUGCUCUAAGACUCACUUGAACACGAUCCUGAAAAUGACCC